Molecule: long non-coding RNA, 213 nt
Filed under: Setaria viridis
Lineage: Eukaryota; Viridiplantae; Streptophyta; Magnoliopsida; Poales; Poaceae
Description: long non-coding RNA (SVIR_LNC005286)
Source: RNAcentral
UUCGGUAAUACUUUGUAGAUGGAUCGGCAAUGGAUGUACAGCGUGGACAAACGCUCCAUGGAGUAUAUUAAUGGCUUGCGUGAUUUUCUCGAUCUGGCAGAGUUCAACAAGCUGCCGUCUGGUUUCAUUUGUUGUCCAUGAAUUUGCAAAAAUGAGAAGGAUUACUCAUCCAGAAAGACUAUUCACGCCCACAUAUAUAGUUCAAGAUUCAUG